AAACGUGAGGGAGAGAGGAAACGUGAAGUAUACUCAUUUUAUUUUCCUUUUCCUUUUUUAUUAAUAAUUCCUAUUGUAUAUUAUUUAAAAAAAAUAUUUAUUAGAUAAUAUUUUAAUUUAGAAAAAUAUAAUAAUAAGAUAAAUAUCUAAUUUUGAAUACUAGAACAAAAUAAAAGGACUGAUUAUAAAUAGAAGUCGGACAAAAAUUU
RNAcentral lists this long non-coding RNA (209 nucleotides) under Lathyrus oleraceus (garden pea). RNAcentral's name for it is "Pisum sativum (pea) long non-coding RNA (PSAT_LNC022363)". Lineage: Eukaryota; Viridiplantae; Streptophyta; Magnoliopsida; Fabales; Fabaceae. The record is from RNAcentral.